Molecule: transfer RNA, 82 nt
Filed under: Camelus bactrianus (Bactrian camel)
Lineage: Eukaryota; Metazoa; Chordata; Mammalia; Artiodactyla; Camelidae
Also listed under: 2 other names
Rfam family: tRNA
About the family: Transfer RNA (tRNA) molecules are approximately 80 nucleotides in length. Their secondary structure includes four short double-helical elements and three loops (D, anti-codon, and T loops).
Source: Rfam by way of RNAcentral
GAGGGUGUAGCUCAAGUGGUAGAGUGCAUGCUUAGCAUGCAUGACAUGCACAAGGUCCUGGGUUCAAUCCCUAGUACCUCCU